UCCCAGCAUCGCGUCACGUCACCGUGCCAAAACCCCACCUCAGCUCCUGCCCCUCUUGGGGCUUUUGGUGAUCCCCACCAACAAAUAGAGCCAAAGAAACUCUGGAAAUUUGGGCGUUUAAUUCUACAAAGUUAAGAUACCUUCAAAUAAAUGCAGCAACUCGAUCAAGGAGAGGCCUUUCGCUAUGAAUAUGGAAGAAGUGAAUUUUGUGCAAGCGGAAGAUGCAAGACUGGAGACUACCCGAGCGAGAUUUUCAAAUGUCCUUAAAAGGCAUGGAGCACUAACAGAGCGCCUUUCUAGGUACAAAUGCUGGAGAUUACUUGUAAUUCCUACGUAUGGGAGAUAAAUUGAUUAGACAUUAAUGAU
Long non-coding RNA from Olea europaea var. sylvestris, 366 nucleotides. RefSeq lists it as uncharacterized. The transcript has 2 exons. The record is from RefSeq and is a predicted model, not a curated record. NCBI's taxonomy places the organism in Eukaryota, Viridiplantae, Streptophyta, Magnoliopsida, Lamiales, Oleaceae.